Molecule: non-coding RNA, 71 nt
Organism: Orycteropus afer afer
Lineage: Eukaryota; Metazoa; Chordata; Mammalia; Tubulidentata; Orycteropodidae
Source: the annotation of a RefSeq genome assembly
GUAUUGGUGGUUCAUUGGUAGAACUCUUGCCUUCCAUGCAGGGGACCUGGGUUCAACUCCCAGCCAAUACA